UUAAUCACAUGCACAAUCUAUUUAUCAAUCAGCAGGCUUCUUUGGAUAUAUGCCUCAAGGAUGUAAAAAAAGUUUUCAAACAUUUGAAUUCUCAUCAUAUAUGCCUCAAUACUCAUUUCAAGUUCCUUUUACCUUAUAUAUUUUUGAAGGACUUUCACAAAGGUUUUGUACCACUUUCAACAGCAUACAACCAACCACCAACGAGCUCUUGUUAUCAUCCACCAUUACUUACUCAAAU
This 238-nucleotide long non-coding RNA is filed under the name Glycine max (soybean). RNAcentral describes it as "long non-coding RNA (GMAX_LNC004195)". The record is from RNAcentral. Lineage: Eukaryota; Viridiplantae; Streptophyta; Magnoliopsida; Fabales; Fabaceae.